Small nucleolar RNA from Engraulis encrasicolus (European anchovy), 69 nucleotides. RefSeq annotates it as small nucleolar RNA SNORD61. The transcript has a single exon. The record is from RefSeq and is a predicted model, not a curated record. NCBI's taxonomy places the organism in Eukaryota, Metazoa, Chordata, Actinopteri, Clupeiformes, Engraulidae.
GCUGUGAUGACUACCGUAACCAAUUGAUCUUCACUGAUCUGAUUUUAUUCUCUAAGAAGUCCUGAGCAC